CAGUCGCCACGGGAAUGCGAAGGGGGCUAGCGUUGUUCGGAAUCACUGGGCGUAAAGGGUGCGUAGGCGGGCACUUAAGUCAGGGGUGAAAUCCCGAGGCUCAACCUCGGAACUGCCCUUGAUACUGGAUGUCUUGAGUCCGGAAGAGGUGAGUGGAACUGCGAGUGUAGAGGUGAAAUUCGUAGAUAUUCGCAAGAACACCGGUGGCGAAGGCGGCUCACUGGUCCGGAACUGACGCUGAGGCACGACAGCGUGGGGAGCAAACAGGAUUAGAUACCCCUGUAGUCCCUGUCUCUUAUAC
RNAcentral lists this ribosomal RNA (301 nucleotides) under uncultured bacterium. RNAcentral describes it as "partial 16S ribosomal RNA". It matches the Rfam family "Bacterial small subunit ribosomal RNA", at positions 509 to 807 of the family's 1533-position model. The record is from RNAcentral.